RNAcentral lists this long non-coding RNA (2672 nucleotides) under Macaca fascicularis (crab-eating macaque). RNAcentral's name for it is "lncRNA (ENSMFAG00000055908.1)". Lineage: Eukaryota; Metazoa; Chordata; Mammalia; Primates; Cercopithecidae. The record is from RNAcentral.
GGAGACGUGUAUUCUAGAAAUUAAACAUUUGUGUGCCAUAUCUCUUGAGUUUUGGAGAACAAUUGGAGCUCAAGCUACUAUAAAUGACAAGAUUAUCUUGGAUAUCUUUUUUAGCUUUCUGCAAAAUCACUUAUGUUUUAUAUACCUCUGCUAAUAAUUCAAAACUCUGAAUUUGCUUUACUGUAUUAACUUUUUUAAAAUGUAUUUUUGCAAUUGGUUUAAUUACUACAAAAGCCUAAAAAGCUAAUGACUAGGUGCAUGUUUAGUAUGCACUGUCUAGUGUAAAUUUUUUUUAAGCAGUAGAUUUUUAUUAGAGAUUAACUUCCAGGCCAUAUGAGAAUAUGCUUAAUCCUAGAUUUGGCAUUUUACAGAAAAGAAUUUUGACUCUUGAACUAGAAUUAAAAACUUGUUCUGAUUUCCUUGCUUGCCUCAAUUUCUAAAGUCUAGAAGUGGCAAAGAAUUUAGAUCACUUAUGCCCACAGAAUCUGUAUUUCCUUCCAGGGCAAAGUUGGCAUUUCCUAUCUACUAGCUUCCAAAAUAAAGUAAUCCUAGUUAUGAUAAUAAGAGCAACCUUAUUUUAUUACACUUAGAACCAUUUUAUGUUUUCAAAUUAAUCUUUGAGUGAAGAUGAACUAAAAAAAAAAAUGCGUUUUGUCCCGGGUUGCCUGCAGGUUCCAGUCUGCUGCCUCCGGUCACUGAAGAGGCAGUGAGGACUGGCACGGGGUGGGCUGGAAAGCCAAGCUGUCUUUUCAGGGUGCACAGUGCCCCAGCCAUAGCACAGCUUAGAAACAUGGAUGAGUAGACCUCAAGAUAGGUGAACACGGAGUAGGGAGCAAAAGAAGGCAGAAACUCCUCUGAGUUUCACAAGCAUCAGGCACAGAUCAGGGCACAAAGGAAGAAGAAAGAAGGUAGUUACCACUGGUCUGUCUCUGUAAAUAGUUACAGAGCAAUUUUACUUUGUGUUAUUUAGGAUUGAGAAACAAGUGUUAUUUAAAAGUCCUCUUACCCUCCAACCUUUGUCAUACUCCACAAUAUCUGAUGCCAUUUAGGCCUCUGAGCCAGUACAUAUUUUAUUGAAACUUUUUUUCUUUUGAGGCAGAGUCUUGCUUUGUAACCCAGGCUGGAGUGCAGUGGCACAAUCUCAGCUCACUACAACCUCAACCUCUAGGGCUCAGGAGAUCUUCCUGCCUUAGCCUGCCUAGUAGCUGAGACUACAGGCACGCACCACCACAGGCUAACUUUUUAAAAUUAUUUUUGUAGAGACAGGGUUUGGCAGUGUUGCCAGGCUGGUCUGGAACUCCUGAGCUCAAGCAGUCUGCCCGCCUAGGCCUCCCAAAAUGCUGGGAUUACAGGAGUGAGCCACUGCUCCUGGCCCAGCUGAUUUUUUUGUUUUUUUGUUUUUUAUUUUAAGAAAUGGAGUCUCACUACGUUACCCAGGCUGGUUUCAAACUCCUGGGCUCAAGCAAUCCUGCCUUGGCCUCCCAAAGAGCUGGGAUUACAAGCAUGUUGAAACAUUUUGAGUAGUUGUUGAUUGCUAAAGGAAUUUCCAUCAGAAAUCUAGGUAUUCAGCCAUGCUUUCCAAAUCUUGUUUUAUUCUUCCACUGAUAAUAUUGGUCCUAUUAAGUUGUGGUGUAGUGAAGUAUUCACAAAUUUCAAUCCAAAAAAUUAUGUGAAUAGUCAGGGAGUUCUUUCUGUACCCUUGAGUUAUUUUAUCACUGUCAUGUGUACACCUCAUAGGAAAGUUCCGCUUUGAGAAUGAGCACAAGGAACAGAUAGGAAAUGUGCAGCGGGUGCCGAUGUGUAGUCCUGCAGCCUGCAAGUCCAUGUGUGUAGGAAGAGGCAGUCACUUCCUCAGUCAGUAGCUUUUCAUCUGAAACAACAAAACUAGUGGUAGGAAGCUUCUGAGAUGGUUCCCAGUGAAACCUGCCCGCUGGUGUGCACUCUUGUGUAACCUCCUGUCCUUGGGUGUGAGCUGGACUUAGUGGCUUGCUUCUGAGGAGUAGAACAGAAGCAGGAAGGGAGAGAGCACUCGUGAGGUUUGGUGGCAGAAAGUCUCUGGCUUCUGUCUCCUUGCCCUCUCUUACUUUUGUGCUUUCCUGCUCGGAAGGUGAGGUGUUCUUUGGAAAGGCCCAUGUGACGAGAAGCAGAACUUUCCAGCCAACAGCUAACAUGGAACUGAGGCCCUCAUUCCAAUAGCCUCCAACUGAAUCCUGCCAACGAGACAUGAGUUUGGAAGGGGAUCCACCCCAGUGGAACUCUUGAGAUGACUGCAGCCAACACCUUGAUUGCAGCCUUGUGAGAGACAAACCAAGAUGUUUGUUUAAGUGCUAAAUUUGGGGGUAAUUUUUAUGCCGUUACAGAUAACUAGUACAAAGCUAGAAAAAGAAAAAGGCAUAAUACAAAUUUUAUUAUCUUAAUGAGGCUACCAGCAUCUGAAGAACUGAAAUAAGGAGAAUUGUUCUUCCUCCCGCAUGAGCACCUGUCAGCUACCUUAGUCUUACCUUAAAUAAAAACACUUAACCAAAUACAUUCUCUCUCUCAAGGACAGCAAAAGAUAUUGAAAUUUGAUGAUUCUGUAUUUGAAAUGUAAACCAGAUUACAAUUAAACUCUAACUCUUGAAUACUGUCCCUUUUAAGUCACCAAAUCUCCUUUAAGAUGAAAUUAUCUAAAA